This 450-nucleotide ribosomal RNA is filed under the name uncultured bacterium. RNAcentral's name for it is "partial 16S ribosomal RNA". It matches the Rfam family "Bacterial small subunit ribosomal RNA", at positions 354 to 796 of the family's 1533-position model. The record is from RNAcentral.
GUGGGGAAUAUUGGACAAUGGGCGAAAGCCUGAUCCAGCCAUGCCGCGUGUGUGAAGAAGGUCUUCGGAUUGUAAAGCACUUUAAGUUGGGAGGAAGGGCAGUAAGUUAAUACCUUGCUGUUUUGACGUUACCGACAGAAUAAGCACCGGCUAACUUCGUGCCAGCAGCCGCGGUAAUACGAAGGGUGCAAGCGUUAAUCGGAAUUACUGGGCGUAAAGCGCGCGUAGGUGGUUUUGUAAGUUGGAGGUGAAAUCCCCGGGCUCAACCUGGGAACUGCCUCCAAAACUGCAUGACUAGAGUACGGUAGAGGGUAGUGGAAUUUCCUGUGUAGCGGUCAAAUGCGUAGAUAUAGGAAGGAACACCAGUGGCGAAGGCGACUACCUGGACUGAUACUGACACUGAGGUGCGAAAGCGUGGGGAGCAAACAGGAUUAGAUACCCUUGUAGUCC